This is a long non-coding RNA of Coturnix japonica (Japanese quail), 251 nucleotides long. RefSeq lists it as uncharacterized. Lineage: Eukaryota; Metazoa; Chordata; Aves; Galliformes; Phasianidae. The record is from RefSeq and is a predicted model, not a curated record.
CCUUGAUAACAGAAUCACGGUAUUUCAGUAACUAGAAAGGACACUGUCGUGAAUGGGAAUGGCCAUAAAGACUGUUUAACUGCCUAAAGGAAUGGAGUUGAAUUUAGAGAGUGUUUCACAUAUGGAGGAAAAUCUAUCUCUCUCCAUCUGGAGUGCAGAGACCACAUCAAAGUAGACUGGACAUGCCAAGCUGCCGUUAGUGGUCAUGCAUCCAGAAGAUCCCAAUUUUGCCCAAGUACACAAUUCUUGGG